Colius striatus (speckled mousebird) is the source of this 4031-nucleotide long non-coding RNA. RefSeq lists it as uncharacterized. The transcript has 6 exons. NCBI's taxonomy places the organism in Eukaryota, Metazoa, Chordata, Aves, Coliiformes, Coliidae. The record is from RefSeq and is a predicted model, not a curated record.
UAAAUAUUUUGUUUAGGAACAGUUUUGAGAAAAACCUGUUGUAUAAUACUCAAUUAUAACCAAUUUUACUGUGGAAAAUUACUUUUUUUCCCCAACUGAUCCCUGUAUGAGGUUUCUAAACCCAUUCAUUCAGAUCAGCUAAAAUGUAAACUGAUAUCUACAUAAAACGGUUUGAGGUUCUACCAGUUCUUUCUCUCAUUGUAAGAAUCUUGUCACUUUGACUGAGAGAGGUCAUGUGUCAGCACAGUCAUGUUUAUUUGGAUUAGUGGCUGUUCUUCCACCAACAAGAAACUUGUAAAUGCUUUUAUGUUCUUGGCAGUUGUAAGGGCAUGAUGACUAAGCUUCACAUGUUUCUAUUAAUACAAAGUUGGCUGUCAUUGAUAUCAAUACUUGCUGUUGCAUAAAGCAAGAAAUACUUUAGAUAACCACUUAAAAUUAGUAGAAACUUCUCAAAUGCAUGUUUCAGUAUAGAUUUGGUUUUAAAAGUUUGCAGUUUUACAGUGCCAAGGAAGCCUUUUUUCUGUCCAGACAUGAACAGCUUGCUUGUUAUUUCGUUAUUUGCCAAUUGCAGUGGAAAUGAUGCAGCACAAAAAACUGCUGACUGAAGAGUCAGUUGUAUUUUCUAAGCACUUUCUGCUUUUGAAAGAACACUGUAGAUUAUCACCAGUGGUGCAGUUGUUUGAAUCCAACUUCUGCCAAGUUUUUCCGCUGAUGAUGUUGGUGGUGGUGCAAGGGGUGGGAAGAGUGAGACAAACAACCAUGCAGACUCCAAAGUCAGUGAGGAAAGGGAGGAGAAGGUGUGCUGGAGCAGAGACUCCUCUGCAUUCUACAGAGAGGACUGGACAAGCUGAGAUUUAUUUGCAUUUUGCUAAAGACCCUGCAUCAGGGGCAGUGACUCACUCAUUAAAGAUCCCAUGCCAGGGGCAGUGACUAUGGCUGGAGGAGGCUGUAUCUUGUGUGAGGGACCCCAUAUUCAUAGAAGGUGUAACUAUGGGGAGGAACCCAUGACAAAGCAGCUCAUUAAAACUAUGCCCAGAAGAGGCCUCGUCCAGAGGGAGGGACCAUGUAUCUGCAGAAGCUGCAACCAUGGUGAAGAAUCCACACCAGAGAUACUCACCAAGGACUGUGUCCCGUGUGAGGGACCCUGUAUCGGCAGAAGCUGCAGCUGUUGGGAACAACCCAGACCAGAAAAGUUCAUUAAGGACUGUGUCCCGGGGGAGGAACCCCGUGUUGGAGCAGGUGAAGAAUGCCAGGAGUCAUCCUCAUCUGAGCAGAGAGAAGCGGCAGAGCCCAUCUCUAUCUGACAGAAGAUUGAACAGCUCUAAGAAAAAUCACAAUGAAAUGGUUUAAUUCAUGAAAAGGAACAAGGAACAAAAGUUCUAGCAGAAAUAACAAGUAACAGAAAAAAUCACUCCUGAGACUGUUUAUACAUAGUAUUAAAAUUAAACACUUAUCCUUUAUCAAAAUGGACUGUUGGUUCAUACCAAUAACACAUGGAUAAACUGCACACAGAUUUUCCAGAAAUAAUUCAUCAGAAGGAGAGAUGAAAUUGGAGCUGACUUCACAGAGUGCAUAGCUCAGCUUUAAAGAAAAUUAGUAACAAGACCCAGGAAGGAAUCACAUGGAAUAACAACUGAAAAAAUUGGCAAUCAAGAUCAGCUUGUCAGCUGUUCUUAGUGAAUGGACAAAGUGAGCUGCAGAAUAUUAAAAACGCUGUGUGCUACCACCAGUAAGCUAUGUGUCUCCAGGAUUUCCAAUUAUCAUGCUUCAGACCAGAAGCAGUAGAGACAGCAUUUCUUCGGGGUUUUUUUCAAGUAUUUUUCUUUCACAGACUAUGUCUAGAUGUUUGAUAAUUUUGUGUUUGAACAUGACGUCUUCCUCCAUCACAGUUUACAAUGACCAAAGGAAACAUAUUUACAGCAUGGGAGAAUCCAACUGCGAGAUGAAAUGACAAGCAAGAUUGUCUCUGGUCAUAUAUGCCUGACUGAAGUACGCAUUUGUGGGGGGAAAGCAAUCUGUGGGCCAAACAGUCACCAGUGCACUGAAGCUCUUGGGUUAAGGAAUGCAACUGGACCAAGACCCAGCUCAAGCUGCUGGAACAAAGUGAUCAAGAUGCAAGAUGCACCUCACAGCAUUAGUCCUCCCUUGCUAUUAAGCGCUGUGAGGACCUGUUUAGCUCACUGACAGGCUGCUUGUCAGGAAGGCCCCAACCCAGUGCGCAGUUCAGUGUGUAAACACUGCAAACACGUAAUUAAAUUCCAGUGAACUUGUAACAGUAAAGUUUCAAGCUGAGGUGCUGGCGUCUCUGGCCUUGAUCCAGUAAAACAUUUCAGUGCAUGCGUAAAACUUUACCACUAUUGCUAAAUCAGUGGGAACUACUCAUCACUUGAAGUUGGGUAUGUGUUCAAGAGAUUUGUUUGAUGUGGCCACAGUGCUCCACUGUAAGUGCUAUGUUGAACUAGGGCCUAAAUCCGGUUUACCAUGUGGUACCUCCUUGGCAUUGCUGAUUACCUACCAGUCAGCCUUGUUCACUUAGAUGUGGACACCAUCAUUUCGGAAGCGAUGUUAAGCAAUCUGAAAUGCUACUAUCUCAUUAUAGAAAUUUCAGUGAUGAUUCUCUUUUGGACAGUAAUGUAGUGGCAGAUUUGCAUCAGGGCACUCUGGCAGUCAAACUGUGAAUUGAAAGUCUCUUGAAUACAAAUUACAGGAUUAGGAGAAUAUCAUAAACAUCUGAGAACACUGCACACACAAACAUAUUCAAAGGAUACACAGUAAAAAAUUACUAGUAAAAAUAUUGUCCACUGCAUUUGGUAAAAUCCUGCUUAUGUUUUCUUCCACCUUCUUGCUUUAUCUUUAAAUAUAAUGUAACUAGGAUUUUGUCUCUUGCCAGGUUUCGGCCAAGUGACAAAACAUAAACCUCUUUUCAUUCAUAAAGGGGGACUUCUAGAACACCUGAAGUAGAAAAGCAAACUUAUUAGCCUGCUUUUUCUGCUCUUUUUUCUUCCAAAACAUUCUAGGAACUCACAUUUUCCAAAACCGUGGUUGUUCAAAUGAACUGUGGGGUAUGCAAGAGCCACCAAAUUCACUGCUGGCAAAACAAUCCUAAUAUUCCAGCACAACCACUUUGGGUCAUUGAAACUUGAACUGUGGCUGGAACACUGCCUGUGCAUUAGGGCGCUCUUCCGAGGUCUAACACUUCCUGUGUUCAGAUCACUUCACCUAAAUACAAAGAGGAAAAUAAGAUAACACUUGUGUUUUCUUUUAUAAAUGUAACACAUGAACACCAGGCUGUAUGAGAUUUAAGGCAUAUUCAAAUUUGCCAUCAAAAAAGAGGUACAUUAGUUGGUUGUUCUGAGUUAUUUAAAGCAUAAUUGAUUCUUUUUGUAACAUUAAGUAAAUACUUUUUACAUAAAGUAUCUGCAAGUUAGUACGGUCCAGUGCUCUGAAAGAGUGGGUAAAGCCAUAUAAGCCAGAUUUCCACACACAUAAAUGCAACUGGACUCAACUGAAGUACUUUGGACAAAUAAAGACAUUAUAAUAUAAUUUGUAAGUAUUAUGAAAUGUUUCAACUUCUAUAGGAGGAUGUCAGAACUCAUUUAACUUGGGUGUUGAUGUUGUCCAAUGUAUUUUUGAAAACUACACCUUUGUGCAAACAUCUCUAGUUUCUUUAAAAUAUUGACUGUCACUCUUUUCGUAGUUUCAGAUGUGAUCAGGAGGUCAGAGAUUAGAAUACUAUCCUGUACCCAGCAAUAUAAAGAAUCAGUAGCUACAAAUAUUUAAAUAAAGAAAACUCCACUGGGACAAACGUAAUUGUAUACCCAAAACAUUUCCUGAGGUGUCUCUGUCUGCUUUGCAAUGAAAGUGGUAGAUGUCACGUUACCCAGCAGAGGGAGCUCAUAAAGCCAACUGUAAGGGUAUCUUUUACAGGCGAAAACUAAUGAGAGCUAUUUAAAGUGUGAUAAAUACAUUUAAGCACAUUUCCAGCAGUCAGUGCAUAGCUGGAUGUAAUUUAUAUUGACUGGGAACUAUGA